GGAAUGUAAUAAGAAGAUGGUCUGGUGAUAGAAUGCUAUGAUGUGCCAGAGAACCAUGUUUCUCAAAACCUUCUCAUCCAUCAAGAAUCAUCAGUAGGAUAGUUUCAGCUAUUUAUUUAAAUCCCCAAAGAAUAGCCAUGUUUUCCAUCACUUCUAUAAUUAAGGAACUGCUUGAAUUUCUCUUAAUCCUGCUCCUUUUACUGCCAUGGUUUGCCUUCUAAAGCUGCUGGUACUAGCCAGUAGGUCAGACUUAAGGACAAGCAGCUUUUGUAUGGCUUGGCAUAUAUAUGAGUUUAUAUGCAUCUAUGUGUUUAUAUGAGUGUUAUAGCUUGUAAUUAGGGAAGAAAUGGUACAGAGCAGCAACUUCAGGUUGGCUUCUAAACUACCUGUUUUGGAAUGGUUUGGGCAUGGUAAGAGGUAAGCUCAACCUGAACAACUCUAUGCCUAUAUUAAGGAAUGCAGUCCCCAUGUGUCUUCUCCUCAGCAAGCUACAGAUCCGGGUUCUAGCUUGCUUUUAAGCGCACCUGAUGACCACGCAAGUACUUCAUGGACAGAUGGAGGAGCUUUAACUAAAGGGAUGGAAUGAAGACCUGGAUCACAGUCAUUCAUCCAGUAAGAAACUAUGACCAUACCAUGUGCAAGCAAAACUGACAUCUGAGACGAAUCAUGCUGGGCUAUGGCCCCAGCCAGCUGCAACAUUCUGCUUGGAAAACUGAGAAACAGUAACAUCUCUUGUGAGAGCAUAACUAAGAAGUUUUGAGUCCAGGUUUGAAACAGGAAUAACAACCACCUAGAAGCAACUGCUGCUUUCCUUGGCUCAUCUUCAUCCAGAACAGCAUGCCUGAGUUAUGUGUGGAAGUGUCUGAUCAAAGCCUUGCGAAGAAUAAUUCAAGAAAGUGUGCACUUCAGUCAACCUAAAAUAUAUGCAAAGAGGACACAUCACAUACAGAAGGCUCAUUUAUUAUUUAUAUGUUGCUGCAGAUAUGCAUGGCAAAUCAAAAGACAGUCCUUGCCCCAAGGAGCUUACAAACUGAAUUAGACUAAAACCAACCAAAAUGACAGCACAUCCACAUAGCAAGAGAGAGAAAUAAUGGAUACAGACACAAUUACUGCUCCCGGAGAAGGAAUAGUGCAUAAUAUUCAUUUUUUUUAUACCUUGGUUGUGGCUGCUAUGAUCAGGAAAUACAGAAUCCAACAUACCUGACUUGUGAACAUUAAAAGAUAUUCUAACUUAUGUUUCCCUGCAGAUGAAAAAUAUCGUAAUACCUGGCUCAUGUAACCAUCUGUUGAUUGUACACUCAAAACCUUCCAAAGAAAGAGUGUCACAAAUGAUCAGAUGUGUGCAAGAACAAGAUACUACAUGUGCAUUUGAUUUGGGAAAUGUGCAAAUUAAUCUAGCAUAUAUAUAUGCCAGACCUUUGUAAGAUGUUUGACAUUCCCAAAAUAGCUACUGAUGCACCUGAAAGCAACGCAAUAGUUGUGUCUUAGUUUUACAAUACAUCAUAGUACAAUGCAUCAUUUUAUGCUUUGUUCUAAUGAAAGAAGUAUAAAUCUUAGAACCUGUAGAAUGUAUUUAUAUUAUCAAAAGCAAAAAAACAGCACAGAACAUUCUUAAUCAAGUUUUAUAUAGUCAAAUGCAGCAGGAAGUGGUCUCAACUGAAGAAAAAAACCUCUCUGCUUCAAAUACAUUUUGUUUUUAAAAAAGAUCUAGAAUACUAGCUGGACAGCAAAUGCACUGAAAAACAGACUGAUGAUAAACUUGGAAUACAGCAUUCAAUCCUCUGUAACUGCUGUUUCUUCCCUGCUCCCAAUUGUUUAUGAUUUUCUACCAAAAAGCCCUUGAGUGCUGCAUUAUUAUGUGCUAUCAUAUUGCUAAAAGAAAUGUUUGUAUUCUUAUAGUUCAUAGCUUUUGGAAAAUUACCAUUUUUGCAUUAGCCUUUUAGCAGAGUUUCAUUUAUCUCAGGAUUUUUAGUUUUAGAAGUCACAAUGCUGAGUGAAAUUAUUUUUUGGAGACAGGAAAGAUCUUAAGUCUUUUGACAUUUUUACAACAUCCAAGAGAUCUUGGAUUUUCUUCUUCACUGAAAAUGAUCAGUCUUUUUUAUCAGGCAUAUGCAUACAUACCCCAGCCUCAGAUCUCCCUAGCAAGGUUACAUUUGUACUUGGUCAGUGCAUCUCCAGCUUCUCAAAUCCAGUUCUUAGUAACUGGAGUGAAAUUCUAUGAAAGAAGGUUUAGCAAAACAGUAACAUGAGAAAAAGACUAUAGAUGCAAAUUACCUGUCUCAGACUGGUCCUUCGUUUACAGUCAGUUUAGUAGCCCAUUAGAAAUGAGAAAUUAAGAUGAAUUGUGGUGUUUGCUACUGAAGUUUUUAACUACUGACCUUUGGGUCUUUAAUUUAUUCUGAGAAAAGCAUUUAGCUGCAAGCAGCUGACUUGAUGUGUAAUGUCUAUGUUCAGCCUUCUCAUUUGUACAACAUAAAGGAGCUUCAAUAAAUUAUAACCAAAGUUAA
Molecule: long non-coding RNA, 2507 nt
Organism: Rhea pennata
Lineage: Eukaryota; Metazoa; Chordata; Aves; Rheiformes; Rheidae
Exons: 4
Source: RefSeq, a predicted model, not a curated record